AUUUCCCCAAUGGGUUCUCCGGAUUUCUGGAGACUUGUAGGGGUUGUGGGAUUUUUGAUGUGUCGUCUCCGGACGGGCGGUGCAGGGUAGUCGAGUUAGACUUGGUGGAAUUCCGUCGAUAGGAGUUCCGUCGAGUCUGGUCGGCUGUGUGUUGGACGGUGCAGGGUAGGCUGCUUGGACAUGGUCGGUUCGAGGAUCGAUUCGAGGGCCGGCCUGUCGAUGAUGUGUGAUGUAUGCGGUCUAGGGUAGGCUGGUUUGUCUUGGUUCAAUUUGAUGUCGGUUCCCGUGCAGGCCAGAGUGAGUGGGGUCCAGGGUAGGUACAGGGUAGGCAGCUUAGAUUUGGUCGAUCUGGAGGUCGAUUCUCCGGCUGGCGGAUCUGACACUGUUGAAACGAGAUGCGAGCGGUGUAGGGUAGGCUAGUUUCGUCCUCGCCAGGUUGCGAUUUGGACGAGAUAUGUGGUUUAGGGUAGGCUCUAGGGUAAGUAGAAUUCGAGUUUCGUCGCCGACAGUUUUCUGUGAGUGUAUGGUAGGUACAGGGUAGGCAAAUCUCUCUCCGGCCAGUACUUGUCUGGUGGUCGUGAGUCGAUUUUUUUGUUUU
Molecule: unclassified non-coding RNA, 598 nt
Filed under: Fusarium oxysporum
Lineage: Eukaryota; Fungi; Ascomycota; Sordariomycetes; Hypocreales; Nectriaceae
Description: partial miscellaneous RNA
Source: RNAcentral